This 2088-nucleotide long non-coding RNA is filed under the name Homo sapiens (human). RNAcentral's name for it is "HSALNT0388707". The record is from RNAcentral. Lineage: Eukaryota; Metazoa; Chordata; Mammalia; Primates; Hominidae.
AAGUAACUGAGCGCGCGUGCGCCGCACAGGCGCGCCGUCCUGAAAGAGGGUAUUUCCGGCGGGAGAAGGAGGGGGGGUCUUUCCUUUUUUUUCUUGAGACGGAGUUUCGCUCUUGUUUCCCAGGCUGGAGUGCAAUGGCGCGAUCUCGGCUCAUCGCAACCUCCGCCUCCCGGGUUCAAGCGAUUCUCCUGCCUCAGCCUCCCAAGUAGCUGGGAUUACAGGCAUGCGCCACCACGUCCGGCUAAUUUUUUGUAUUUUUAGUAGAGACGGGGGUUUCACCAUGUUUGUCAGGCUGGUCUCGAACUCCUGACCUCAGGUAAUCCACCCGCCUCGGCCUGCCAAAGUGGGCCGCCGCGCCUCAGAAGCGGGACGGCGUGGCACCCGAUAUCGAGACACCUGAUGGUGAUUGUGAAGCACAAUUCCCUCUCCCAUGUUUUAAAAACGCGCGCCCCUGGCCGGGCGCGGAGGCUCACGCCUGUAAUCCCAGCACUUUGGGAGGCCGAGGCGGGUGGAUCAUGAGGUCAGGGGUUCAAGACCAGCCUGGCCAAGGUGGUGAAACCCCGUCUCUACUAAAAAUACAAAAAAAUUAGCCGGGCGUGGUGGCGGGCGCCUGUAAUCCCAGCUACUUGGGAGGCUGAGGCAGAUAAUUGCUUGAACCUAGGAGGCAGAGAUUGCAGUGGGCCGAGAAUGUGCCACUGCAUUCCAGUCUGGCGACAGAGUGAGACUCUGUCUCAACAAACAGACAAACAAAAAACACGAGCCCCUCAUACACUGGCCAGUUGUUUUUGCUUUUUUGUGACAAAGUCUGGCUGUGUCCCCAGGCUGGUGUGCAGUGGUGUGAUCACCGUUCACUGCAGCCUUGACCUCCAGGGCUCAAGUUAUCCUGCCACCUCAGCCUCCCAAGUGGCUGGGACCGUGGACCACGCCUGGCUUUUUAAUUUUGUAUUUAUUUUUUGAGACGGAGUCUCACUCUGUCACCCAGGCUGAAGGCCAGUGGCGUGAUGUGGCUCACUGCAACCUCCACCUCCCUGGUUCAAGCGAUUCUCCUGCCUCAGCUUCCUGAGUAGCUGGGAUUACAGGUGCGUGUCACCAUGCCUGGCUAAUUUUUGUAUUUUUUAGUACAGAUGGGGUUUCACCACGUUGGUCAGGCUGGUCUCGAACUCCUGACCUCAGGUGAUCUGCCUGCCUCGGCCUCCCAAAGUGCUGGGAUUACAGAUGUGAGCCACUGUUCCUGGUCUAAUUUUUUUUUGUUGUUAGAUCAGAGUCUUGCUAUGUUACCCAGGCUGUUACUGAACUCUUGGGCUCAGGAGAUCCGCCUGCCUCGGGCUCCCAAAGUGCUAGGAUUACAGGCAUGAACCACCGUGCCUGGCGGACUAGCCGCUUUUUAUUUUUCUUCGUGGUUAUUGCAGGGUUGUGGAGCUUUAAAUCAUGCUUCUGUAGUCAGAGUGCUCUUAGUUGCAUUGUCUUAAUCCUCAUCACGGCCCGAGAACAGUCUGUAAAUCGGGAGUUCAGAGUGGGACCCUCUGCGGGGACCGGAAACCUGUUGCUGAAGCCGCUCACCACCAGGCCCAGAGAGGCGAGGCUGGAGCCCAUGGUGACAGUGGCCGGGCUUCGCUCUGGCUCCAGCAAUACCUGCAAAUCCAGUUCUUCCCAGCUGUUUCUCCAAACUGGUAGGAAAAAAAAAAGUGCAGAUUAGGGAGCCGAAACCCCACUUCAAAAACGGGAAUUCACCUACAAGAAAGUAGCUGAUCCUGCUCCCAUUGACGUGCUUGUUGUGCAAGGGUGAGGUUAACCAGCUAGGACCAAGCAACGGGUUUCCCUACACCCUGGGUGUGGCCACUCGUCCUGCAAGGAGAUAACCCAAGGAAGCAGCUCCUCCUGAAUCAUACAUGUUGAUCGCAGAUUGAGCUAGAAGGCAGAUCUCAUGACUGGUAUAAUGACUUCACUGGGAAGUUCUAGCAGUUGCCAGAACUGUAAGUUAGUUAUACAGGCUCCUGGUUCAAUGUUUUCCCGAAGUAGGUCAUUUGGUAACCUAAGAUUAGGAAUUUGGUAAUCUGGCACAAUACUUGGCACUGUGCUCAAUAAAUG